GAUGAAGAACGCAGCAAAAUGCGAUAAGUAAUGUGAAUUGCAGAAUUCAGUGAAUCAUCGAAUCUUUGAACGCACAUUGCGCCCGCCAGUAUUCUGGCGGGCAUGCCUGUUCGAGCGUCAUUUCAACCCUCAAGCACAGCUUGGUGUUGGGACUCGCGUUAAUUCGCGUUCCUCAAAUUGAUUGGCGGUCACGUCGAGCUUCCAUAGCGUAGUAGUAAAACCCUCGUUACUGGUAAUCGUCGCGGCCACGCCGUUAAACCCCAACUUCUGAAUGUUGACCUCGGAUCAGGUAGGAAUACCCGCUGAACUUAAGCAUAUCAUAAGCGGAGGA
Molecule: unclassified non-coding RNA, 331 nt
Filed under: soil metagenome
Description: partial contains 5.8S ribosomal RNA, internal transcribed spacer 2, and large subunit ribosomal RNA
Rfam family: 5.8S ribosomal RNA (bases 1-120)
Source: RNAcentral